GCGAAGUUGGACCAAUGGAGGUCGCUGAACAUCCUGUUUGGAAACGCAGGUUCAAACCCUGCACUUCGCUCCA
Molecule: transfer RNA, 73 nt
Filed under: Caudoviricetes sp.
Lineage: Duplodnaviria; Heunggongvirae; Uroviricota; Caudoviricetes
Description: tRNA-OTHER
Rfam family: tRNA
About the family: Transfer RNA (tRNA) molecules are approximately 80 nucleotides in length. Their secondary structure includes four short double-helical elements and three loops (D, anti-codon, and T loops). Further hydrogen bonds mediate the characteristic L-shaped molecular structure. tRNAs have two regions of fundamental functional importance: the anti-codon, which is responsible for specific mRNA codon recognition, and the 3' end, to which the tRNAs corresponding amino acid is attached (by aminoacyl-tRNA synthetases). tRNAs cope with the degeneracy of the genetic code in two manners: having more than one tRNA (with a specific anti-codon) for a particular amino acid; and 'wobble' base-pairing, i.e. permitting non-standard base-pairing at the 3rd anti-codon position.
Source: RNAcentral